RNAcentral lists this ribosomal RNA (772 nucleotides) under Salmonella enterica. RNAcentral describes it as "partial 23S ribosomal RNA". It matches the Rfam family "Bacterial large subunit ribosomal RNA", at positions 2164 to 2925 of the family's 2925-position model. The record is from RNAcentral. Lineage: Bacteria; Pseudomonadati; Pseudomonadota; Gammaproteobacteria; Enterobacterales; Enterobacteriaceae.
GUGGACGCCAGUCUGCGUGGAGCCGACCUUGAAAUACCACCCUUUAAUGUUUGAUGUUCUAACGUGGACCCGUGAUCCGGGUUGCGGACAGUGUCUGGUGGGUAGUUUGACUGGGGCGGUCUCCUCCUAAAGAGUAACGGAGGAGCACGAAGGUUGGCUAAUCCUGGUCGGACAUCAGGAGGUUAGUGCAAUGGCAUAAGCCAGCUUGACUGCGAGCGUGACGGCGCGAGCAGGUGCGAAAGCAGGUCAUAGUGAUCCGGUGGUUCUGAAUGGAAGGGCCAUCGCUCAACGGAUAAAAGGUACUCCGGGGAUAACAGGCUGAUACCGCCCAAGAGUUCAUAUCGACGGCGGUGUUUGGCACCUCGAUGUCGGCUCAUCACAUCCUGGGGCUGAAGUAGGUCCCAAGGGUAUGGCUGUUCGCCAUUUAAAGUGGUACGCGAGCUGGGUUUAGAACGUCGUGAGACAGUUCGGUCCCUAUCUGCCGUGGGCGCUGGAGAACUGAGGGGGGCUGCUCCUAGUACGAGAGGACCGGAGUGGACGCAUCACUGGUGUUCGGGUUGUCAUGCCAAUGGCACUGCCCGGUAGCUAAAUGCGGAAGAGAUAAGUGCUGAAAGCAUCUAAGCACGAAACUUGCCCCGAGAUGAGUUCUCCCUGAGACUUAAAGUCUCCUGAAGGAACGUUGAAGACGACGACGUUGAUAGGCCGGGUGUGUAAGCGCAGCGAUGCGUUGAGCUAACCGGUACUAAUGAACCGUGAGGCUUAACCUUACAAC